AUUAAAAAUUAUGUGAAUGUAAAAAAUUAAGGGUCCAUUGGCUUCAUGGGUCCGCCCCUCUCUGGUAUUGUCAUGAAAACACAUCACUUAAUAAAAUAAAGACAAACAUGACUGUAGAUCGUGUUGCUAAGAUUUUCUAGUUAAAAUCUGAACCAUAAUCGACAAUGAUUUGACUUCCCAAAUGACCUCUAUUAUUCCUAUUUCUCGUUUUCUUUUCUGUAUUCCUCGCUGCUACUUCUUUUGAACGUGGCUUCCCCUUAAUAUCAUGCGGCUGCGUGUGCUAAGAAUUGGGGUCUGUAGAUUUUUCGCUUUAAGAAAAUCACCACAAUGAUCAAUCUUCCUGGAUUAUUAUUAUUAAUAAUGAUGCUACCAAAAAUCGUAUCUGUUGAUUUCCCGAGCUUGGUGAUUUUGAUUGAUCAUGAUCGUAGUUUUUCGGUACCUGAAACAAAGGCAACGAGGUAUGUUCUCGUUGCCCCUCCGAUACUUAAGUCAGAAAGGGAAUUAUAUACGUGAAGCUAUAAACUGAAGAAUAAUGAAAACGUAUCUGAAUAAUGGCCCAAGGUUCUAUAUUUAUAGAGGUAGGUAGUGUACUCCUAGUAGGAUUGCGCCAGUUGGAUGUAUUUAUCCAAUGGAGUCCUGUUUGUGAGGAAUGUCCUACUUGUAAUGAAAUUGUUUGACUAGGGGUAUAAGAGUUGAUAUAGAGUUUUUGGGUGUUUAGGUGUCCGUUU
Molecule: long non-coding RNA, 728 nt
Filed under: Olea europaea subsp. europaea
Lineage: Eukaryota; Viridiplantae; Streptophyta; Magnoliopsida; Lamiales; Oleaceae
Source: RNAcentral